GGAUUCGUCUCCUCUUUCCCAUCCCAUCGUUGUUGUCCGAGCAAACGAAAAAGAAACCCUAAUUUUUUUCCCGACUUUUCCUUUAUAAACAAACCCUAAAUUUCGCAUCUCCUUUCUCUCUCUCUCUCUCUCUCUCUCUCUAGAAAUUUCCCUUUAUCUACUACUCAAUUUGGGAUUUGGGAACUUCUAAAUCCUCUCAAUCACUUAUCCUCUCCCAUAACUCCCUAAGUUUUCCUUUUAUUUUUUUGAUAAAUGGUAGGAGAAAUUGGAGGAAUUGGGGGAAUUGGGGUGGAUUAGGGCUCAAAAUUGCUUGUUUUGGGCGUAAAUCGAAGCUUAGAAGCGAUGGUGAAGGUAACAGUGGUGAUGUCCGUGUCAUUUUUAGGGUAAAGAUGGGAGCUUUUUUCCAAAGUUUCAGAUCCAUGGCUAAUAUCCCCCAAAUUUGGGUGUUUUCCGAAUGUGGCGGUAGCACCUGAUUCAUUUGUAGGUACAGGGAUUUGAUUCUAGUGUUUGGGAGUGUUGGGAGGUUUGGGAAUCGAAUCGUGAAAUGUCGUUUAGGAGUAUAAUUCAGGAUAUGAGGGAUGAGAUUGGGAAUAUCUCGAGGAAGGGGAUCGAGGUGAAGAUCGGGUACGGGUUGCGAUCGCGGUCGCAUCGGGCGGUGGUGGCGAAUGCGCCGCCGCCGCCGCCUGUAGAUGCCCUGGGGCAGAGCUGCUGGGCGAGCAUGCCGCCGGAGCUCCUCCGUGACGUGCUGGUGAGAAUUGAGGAAUCGGAGGGCGCGUGGCCGCCCCGCAGGGAUGUGGCAGCGUGCGCGGGGGUUUGCCGGAGCUGGCGCGAUAUCAUGAAGGAGAUUGUGAAGACCCCCGAGGUCUCCGGGAAGUUGACCUUCCCCAUCUCCUUGAAGCAGCCUGGGCCUAGGGACUUUCCACUCCAGUGUUUCAUAAAAAGGAACCGAGCUACACAAACAUACUAUCUUUACCUUGGUCUGACCCAAGCAUUGACAGAUGAUGGCAAAUUCCUUCUUGCUGCACGCAAGUGCCGACGUCCUACAUGUACCGACUAUCUCAUUUCUCUUGAUGUGGAUGACAUGUCGAAGGGAAGUAGUACUUACAUUGGGAAGCUAAGAUCGAACUUUUUUGGAACCAAAUUUACAGUCUAUGACGCUCAGCCUCCGUAUGAUGGAGCUAUAAUUGCAAAAUGCCGGUCCACACGUGUGGUUGGUUCCAAGCAAGUCUCCCCUAGGAUUCCAGCUGGAAACUACCCUGUCGCACACAUUUCUUAUGAGUUGAAUGUGUUGGGUUCAAGAGGUCCUAGAAGGAUGCACUGCGUGGUGGACUCAAUCCCAGCCUCUGCAAUCGAACCGGGAGGUUCGGCGCCGACACAAACAGAGUUCCCUCUUAACAGUCUCGACUCUUUCCCCUCUAUUCCAUUCUUCCGAUCCAAGUCAGCCCGCAUAGAAAACUUACCAUCGCCAUUUUCCGGUCAAAAGGAGGCGAAAUUAGUUCUGAAGAACAAAGCUCCGAGGUGGCACGAGCAACUUCAAUGCUGGUGUCUUAAUUUCAGGGGAAGGGUGACGGUUGCUUCCGUAAAGAAUUUCCAGUUGGUGGCCUCGGAAGAGAACGGCCCUGCUAGUCAGGAGGAGGAGAAGGUGAUCCUCCAGUUCGGAAAGGUGGGGAAGGACUUGUUCACCAUGGAUUACCGCUAUCCCAUAUCGGCAUUUCAGGCAUUCGCUCUCUGCCUCAGUAGUUUUGACACCAAAAUAGCCUGUGAAUAAAUUGAGGACUUCAUCGUGGCAACAAUCAUCAACACCAAAAAUGUCUUUUCGGUUUUUCUCAUCAUGUUUUGUUGGCUGAAAACCCAGGUGUAAAGUCAGAAAAUGAUUUCAGAAGUUUUUUCAUGUCUCAGGGAUUAUUUAGCUGUGGGAUUAUUAUAGACACUUUGUUCUGAUGUGCUUCGAAAUGCUGGGCCAUCUAAAUAAACCUCAGAUGCGAAUCGACGGCUUUAGGUCUUUUGCGGAAAUGGAAGAGUUUGUCCAGCUUAAGCUCUUGUAUCUGUAGAAUUCAGUGUAUGGUGUACAUAAACUGUUCUCAAAUUGUGCUAAUUCCCGGUUGUGCUCCACAGCCUCUUCUGUGUCAUUCAUCUGUGGGAAAAGCGAACAUUGGAUUUAAUUUACUAAGCUUAACUUGUUUCUAGUGAGAUCGCGCCAUUGAAUUCGAUGACAUUUUUGUUCUUUUUUUAUUUAAUUGUGGUGGAGGUGCUGUUUUAACUUGCUUGUAAUUCUGUGUACAUUUGCUGUGUUGUAAUCAGAUGGUUCAGAUUUAUUGAAGGCUCUUGAUUUGAGGAGUGUGACUGUAAUAAA
This is an RNA transcript of Ananas comosus (pineapple), 2353 nucleotides long. It is a transcript of the gene named tubby-like F-box protein 6, with no coding region annotated. Lineage: Eukaryota; Viridiplantae; Streptophyta; Magnoliopsida; Poales; Bromeliaceae. The record is from RefSeq and is a predicted model, not a curated record. The transcript is spliced from 7 exons.